CCUACGGGUGGCAGCAGUGAGGAAUAUUGCACAAUGGGCGGAACCCUGAUGCAGCAACGCCGCGUGCAGGAAGACGGUUUUCGGAUUGGAAAAUUGUGUUCAUAGUGAAGAAUCACGCCGGUAGCGAAGGGGCAAGCCACGGCUAAAUACGUGCCAGCAGCCUCGGUAAUACGUAGGUGGCGAGCGUUGUCCGGAUUUACUGGGUGUAAAGGGAGCGCAGGCGGGAAGCCAAGUCAGCUGUGAAAACUACGGGCUCAACUUGUAGACUGCAGUUGAAACUGGUUUUCUUGAGUGAAGUAGAGGUUGGCGGAAUUCCGAGUGUAGCGGUGAAAUGCGUAGAUAUUAGGAGGAACACUGGUGGCGAAGGCGGCCAACUG
Molecule: ribosomal RNA, 377 nt
Filed under: uncultured bacterium
Lineage: Bacteria
Description: partial 16S ribosomal RNA
Rfam family: Bacterial small subunit ribosomal RNA
Source: RNAcentral